GAAGUCCUGCUUUGCCCGUGAUGGUUUCUCGGAGGCUCGUCUGAGCCAACGUUAAAACCCAAGUGAGCUGCGACAGUCGCGUGGUGUGCAUGCCUCCGAGGCGAGGAAGCCUGAAGCGUGGCUUUAUAUAGCGGCUCCACCUGCAAUCGCAGGUUCAUUCGACCUCCCCACACGGCAAAGCGGGUCUUAU
RNAcentral lists this non-coding RNA (190 nucleotides) under Vicinamibacterales bacterium. Its description in RNAcentral is "6S RNA". It matches the Rfam family "6S / SsrS RNA". Rfam says of the family: E. coli 6S RNA was the first non coding RNA to be sequenced, but its function was unknown until recently. It consists of 184 nucleotides that fold into an extended hairpin structure with a large single-stranded internal bulge. Lineage: Bacteria; Pseudomonadati; Acidobacteriota; Vicinamibacteria; Vicinamibacterales. The record is from RNAcentral.